GAGGGAUGGCAGAAAUACAAUGCUUUAGGCCUAAGACCUAACAAUGAGGCUUAACUCUCCCUCC
This 64-nucleotide transfer RNA is filed under the name Pronodularia japanensis. RNAcentral describes it as "tRNA-Leu". Lineage: Eukaryota; Metazoa; Mollusca; Bivalvia; Unionida; Unionidae. The record is from RNAcentral.